This 1401-nucleotide ribosomal RNA is filed under the name uncultured bacterium. RNAcentral's name for it is "bacterial SSU rRNA". It matches the Rfam family "Bacterial small subunit ribosomal RNA". The record is from RNAcentral.
AGAGUUUGAUCCUGGCUCAGAUUGAACGCUGGCGGCAGGCCUAACACAUGCAAGUCGAACGGUAACAGGAAACAGCUUGCUGUUUCGCUGACGAGUGGCGGACGGGUGAGUAAUGUCUGGGAAACUGCCUGAUGGAGGGGGAUAACUACUGGAAACGGUAGCUAAUACCGCAUAACGUCGCAAGACCAAAGAGGGGGACCUUCGGGCCUCUUGCCAUCGGAUGUGCCCAGAUGGGAUUAGCUUGUUGGUGGGGUAACGGCUCACCAAGGCGACGAUCCCUAGCUGGUCUGAGAGGAUGACCAGCCACACUGGAACUGAGACACGGUCCAGACUCCUACGGGAGGCAGCAGUGGGGAAUAUUGCACAAUGGGCGCAAGCCUGAUGCAGCCAUGCCGCGUGUAUGAAGAAGGCCUUCGGGUUGUAAAGUACUUUCAGCGGGGAGGAAGGGAGUAAAGUUAAUACCUUUGCUCAUUGACGUUACCCGCAGAAGAAGCACCGGCUAACUCCGUGCCAGCAGCCGCGGUAAUACGGAGGGUGCAAGCGUUAAUCGGAAUUACUGGGCGUAAAGCGCACGCAGGCGGUUUGUUAAGUCAGAUGUGAAAUCCCCGGGCUCAACCUGGGAACUGCAUCUGAUACUGGCAAGCUUGAGUCUCGUAGAGGGGGGUAGAAUUCCAGGUGUAGCGGUGAAAUGCGUAGAGAUCUGGAGGAAUACCGGUGGCGAAGGCGGCCCCCUGGACGAAGACUGACGCUCAGGUGCGAAAGCGUGGGGAGCAAACAGGAUUAGAUACCCUGGUAGUCCACGCCGUAAACGAUGUCGACUUGGAGGUUGUGCCCUUGAGGCGUGGCUUCCGGAGCUAACGCGUUAAGUCGACCGCCUGGGGAGUACGGCCGCAAGGUUAAAACUCAAAUGAAUUGACGGGGGCCCGCACAAGCGGUGGAGCAUGUGGUUUAAUUCGAUGCAACGCGAAGAACCUUACCUGGUCUUGACAUCCACGGAAGUUUUCAGAGAUGAGAAUGUGCCUUCGGGAACCGUGAGACAGGUGCUGCAUGGCUGUCGUCAGCUCGUGUUGUGAAAUGUUGGGUUAAGUCCCGCAACGAGCGCAACCCUUAUCCUUUGUUGCCAGCGGUCCGGCCGGGAACUCAAAGGAGACUGCCAGUGAUAAACUGGAGGAAGGUGGGGAUGACGUCAAGUCAUCAUGGCCCUUACGACCAGGGCUACACACGUGCUACAAUGGCGCAUACAAAGAGAAGCGACCUCGCGAGAGCAAGCGGACCUCAUAAAGUGCGUCGUAGUCCGGAUUGGAGUCUGCAACUCGACUCCAUGAAGUCGGAAUCGCUAGUAAUCGUGGAUCAGAAUGCCACGGUGAAUACGUUCCCGGGCCUUGCACUCACCGCCCGUCA